GGGCGAAAGCCUGAUGCAGCCAUGCCGCGUGUAUGAAGAAGGCCUUCGGGUUGUAAAGUACUUUCAGCAGUGAGGAAGGUGGGUAUGUUAAUAGCAUAUUCAUUUGACGUUUAGCUGCAGAAGAAGCACCGGCUAACUCCGUGCCAGCAGCCGCGGUAAUACGGAGGGUGCGAGCGUUAAUCGGAAUUACUGGGCGUAAAGCGCAUGCAGGUGGUUUGUUAAGUCAGAUGUGAAAGCCCGGGGCUCAACCUCGGAAUUGCAUUUGAAACUGGCAAACUAGAGUACUGUAGAGGGGGUAGAAUUUCAGGUGUAGCGGUGAAAUGCGUAGAGAUCUGAAGGAAUACCGGUGGCGAAGGCGGCCCCCUGGACAGAUACUGACACUCAGAUGCGAAAGCGUGGGGAGCAAACAGGAUUAGAUACCCUGGUAG
This 428-nucleotide ribosomal RNA is filed under the name uncultured bacterium. RNAcentral's name for it is "bacterial SSU rRNA". It matches the Rfam family "Bacterial small subunit ribosomal RNA", at positions 373 to 793 of the family's 1533-position model. The record is from RNAcentral.